AGUCGGCCCGAACCAGCCCAAUCCAGCCCAUCUCUCCACCGCCCCCAACUCCCAGCAACCGACUUUUGCCAACGUCGUCUUCAUCUCUGCCUCCCAUGGAGCAGAACUCAUCUGCCGGUACCGCUGCAGCAGACGUCGUCAUCCUUCCUUGCCACGUUGCUGCUUGCUGCGUCCACGCGUCUCACAAUCUCUGGCUUCAAAUCAAACCGACUCCAUUGAACCGACCUUCGUCGUUGCCCCUAUCUUCUGUACAAAUAACAAGCUAGUUCGCCACCGUCACCAUUGUUUUCUUCCCCAUCUCCCUCCUCCGUCUGUCUCUCACUGGUACUGCCAAUAGAGAACAAGGUCUCUGUGACCUUCUUCUCCCCUGACCUGAAGCAGCGCCGCCUCCCACGACCGGAGUCCCCGCAGCUUUGCUCAAAUUUUGCCGGAAUUCGAGUUUUGGUCGCCGACGUUCCACCACGAAAUCCGUCGCUCUCACUGCUCCAUCUCCAAAAUUAGUGGUAAAAAUGGAACCUAGACCUUCCAUACCACCUUUGCCCUCACUUUCCCCGACGAAAUCGUCGCUGGAAUGGCACUGGAGACACCACCGACGUACUGCUCUGCCUCUGCCCAGUUCGGCCACCGUCGGGUUGCACGGCGACCCGCUGCUUCGCGCUGUCCUGCGCCUAGCCGCCUGAUCUUCUAGCACCGCCGCCCCUCCUUGUAGCCAUCUAGCUGUCGCGCCCUCACCGGAGCCUCGCCGGAGCACCGCCACCGCGGCUGCCUCCGCCGUCCGAUCCAGGCCGCCGCCGCCAGUAGGCCGCCUUCCAGCCGUCGCCACCGAGGGGAGUGGGACCCCCUCGGCCUCCCGCUGCCAGAUCUCGCCUCUCCCCGGCCGGAGCUGGCCUCCUACCACCGGCGCCCCUCCAUGGUCGCUGCCUCUGUGCACUAGAGAGAGAAAGGAACAAAGCAGAGAGAAAGAAAAGAACGAAGAAGAAAGAGAAGAGAGAGAAAAUAGGGAUUUUCCUAUUUAAAAAUAAUUCCAGAAGGAAUCGGAUCGGAGUUAGUCGUCAACGCCUACGACGCUGCAACUAUAGGAAGUGAAGCCUAGGACGAGUACGCCGACCCGACCCUGAAGGCAAGUCAAGCAUUCUUUGAUUAUACUUGAACCUAAUCUGGAGCUAGGUCAUAUUUUGGACAGCUGGACUUACCUUGAAGUACAUGUGUGUGUUUGUGUAUAUAUAUAUAUAGUGUGCAUGUGUUAAUUACUUAAAUUAUCACCUUGACUAGAAGUUAUAAAUUUAUUAUUUUGCCUUACAUACUGCAUGUCUUGAUAUUGUGCCUGUUAUGCCUUGAUAACCCUGGUUUAGAAUAGAUGAUUAUAUAUGGCUAUCAUUAUUGUAUGUGGAAUUAUGGAAUUAAGUUAUAGAUUAUUUGAAAAGCUAUAAGGACUUAAACCACCUUAUGCCAGUAUAUGUGACACAGUUUACACCCAUCCACACGAUCGAGAUACUCGGCCAUAACAUAUGCUGCACCAGUGAGUUGAUGAUCUGCAGCCUAUCUGUGUAUAUGGCAAUAUCGGUCUUAGGUGUGUACUGGCCACUGAGUGUUGUGAGUAUUGUGAUUGUUUGAGUGGGGUACUGCGUGUACCCAUAAGAGGUCAGGAGAAGCUAGUGUGUCUUGUGGCGGGGUUGGAACACACCCCCUCCGUGUUCGGGAUGGGGCCAAUGGCCACAAAAUCCUAUAACCCGCUAGGUGGAUCUUAGAUGAACUUGAGGCAGUAUUGUGUUAUGUUAUUCAUAGCCUGGCUAGCUGUGGGUAUUGUGUGGAUAAAGUUGGGUAGACACUGUAGAGUCGUUUGAUAUUCGAAUAUGCCGUGCUCCCGGUUAAUGGAGAUAUGUCUAUGGGUGAAUCCAGUGUGUUGGCAAAAGGGUAGACUUCGCAUAUUGUUUAAUAUGGUAGGUGAAUAACAUAAAAUGAUAGUUAUACUUGAUUAUUAUAUUGGGUUAUUAUCUGGGUUUAUUUGUAAACUACUGCUAAGGUUAGAGAGUUAAACCAGUUUACUCCCUUUGUUAGCUAUGCAUUAUUAUUUUACUAUUUUACCUGCUUAGCUUGUGGAGUACUUGUGUACUCUGUCUUGUGUACUUUUGGGUUCCAGUUGGUCAGGGUGAAGUUGCAAGUGAAGUCGAAGAGCCAGAGAACCCAUAGGAGUGGGACAAAGAUGAAGGCUUCGACUUUUAGGUUGUGGGGAUGUACAUGAAAUAAAUAGGAAUCCCACACGCACAACUGUCCAGGAUUCAGCUGCGCACAGAAAAGGUAUAAAAGCACAAGCUCAGUGAAGAAUACUUACAUAGCAGCGGAAAUAUGGCACGUCGGCCUAGCUUUUCAAACAGACCAACCAGGCAACAAGCAGAAGACCCAACAACAC
Molecule: long non-coding RNA, 2410 nt
Filed under: Oryza brachyantha (malo sina)
Lineage: Eukaryota; Viridiplantae; Streptophyta; Magnoliopsida; Poales; Poaceae
Description: long non-coding RNA (OBRA_LNC003415)
Source: RNAcentral